Molecule: ribosomal RNA, 383 nt
Filed under: uncultured bacterium
Lineage: Bacteria
Description: bacterial SSU rRNA
Rfam family: Bacterial small subunit ribosomal RNA
Source: RNAcentral
AAUGAACGUUGGCGGCAUGGAUUAGGCAUGCAAGUCGAGCGCGAUAGGUUUGGUGCUUGCAUUAAACCUUGAAAGCGGCGAAAGGGAGAGUAACGCGUAGGGUAUCUGCCCCCGGGACUGGGAUAGCGGCGGGAAACUGCCGGUAAUACCAGAUAAUGUCUCCGGACCAAAGGUGUGAUUCCGCCUGGGGAGUGAUCCUGCGUCCUAUUAGUUAGUUGGCAGGGUAAUGGCCUACCAAGACGAUGAUGGGUAGCGGGCGUGAGAGCGUGGCCCGUCUCACUGGGACUGAGAUACUGCCCAGACACCUACGGGUGGCUGCAGUCGAGAAUCUUCCGCAAUGGGCGAAAGCCUGACGGAGCGAUGCCGCGUGCGGGAUGAAGGCC